CAAAUUUGCACAAAAAUGUGAAUUUUAAUAUUAUAAGUUAAAAUAUAAAUUUAAAAUACAAAUUUAAAAUUUAAAAUUUAAAUGUUAAAUUUAUAAAUCUAAAUUUAAAAUUUUAAUUGUGAAUAUAAAAUCUAAAUUUAAAAUUUAACAUAUGGAAAUUUGAAAUUUAAAGUUAAAAAUUUAAAACUAAAAAUUUAAAAUUUAAAUUAAAAGUUAAAUUUAAAUUUAAAAAUUUAAAUUAAAUUUUAUUCUAAAAUUUCAAAAUUUAAAUUUUAUCUCAAAUUUAAAAUUUAAAAUUUAAAAUUUAAAAUACAAGAUUUUAAAUUUUAAAUUUAAAUUUAAUAUCUAAUUUUUAAAUUUAUAUUUUGAAUUUAGAAAUUUAAAAUUUAGAAUUUUGAAAUUUAAAAAUUCAAAUAUAAAUUUAAAAUGUAACAUUAAAAUUUGAAUUUAAAUUUAAAAAUUUAAAUGAAAAACCAAAAUAAAAAUUUAAUGUUUGAGUUGAAUAUCAGAAUCAGAUUUUAAGAAACAUGUUUUAAUUGCAUUUGAUUUCGGGUAUCGAAAAUUAGAAAACUAAUUUUAAAAAUCAGAAUC
RNAcentral lists this long non-coding RNA (591 nucleotides) under Ananas comosus (pineapple). RNAcentral's name for it is "long non-coding RNA (ACOM_LNC042555)". Lineage: Eukaryota; Viridiplantae; Streptophyta; Magnoliopsida; Poales; Bromeliaceae. The record is from RNAcentral.